This 73-nucleotide transfer RNA is filed under the name Bifidobacteriaceae bacterium. RNAcentral's name for it is "tRNA-His". It matches the Rfam family "tRNA". From Rfam's summary of the family: Transfer RNA (tRNA) molecules are approximately 80 nucleotides in length. Lineage: Bacteria; Bacillati; Actinomycetota; Actinomycetes; Bifidobacteriales; Bifidobacteriaceae. The record is from RNAcentral.
GUGGCUGUAGCUCAGUUGGUAGAGCACCUGGUUGUGGACCAGGUGGUCGCGGGUUCGAGUCCCGUCAGCCACC